This 253-nucleotide ribosomal RNA is filed under the name uncultured bacterium. RNAcentral's name for it is "partial 16S ribosomal RNA". It matches the Rfam family "Bacterial small subunit ribosomal RNA", at positions 524 to 776 of the family's 1533-position model. The record is from RNAcentral.
UACGGAAGGUGCAAGCGUUGUUCGGAAUGACUGGGCGUAAAGCGCGCGUAGGCGGGUGAUUAAGUCGAAUGUGAAAUCCCUGGGCUCAACCUGGGAAUGGCAUUCGAAACGGGUCAUCUUGAAUACCUGAGAGGUUAGUGGAAUUCCAGGUGUAGGAGUGAAAUCCGUAGAUAUCUGGAGGAACAUCGGUGGCGAAGGCGACUAACUGGCAGUGUAUUGACGCUGAGGUGCGAAAGCGUGGGGAGCAAACAGG